GACGAAGGAUGCAAGCGUUAUCCGGAUUCAUUGGGUUUAAAGGGAGCGUAGGCGGACAGUUUAGUCAGAGGUGAAAGCCCAGGGCUCAACCCUGGAAUUGCCUUUGAUACUGAUUGUCUUGAGUAUGGGAGAGGUGUGUGGAACUCCGAGUGUAGAGGUGAAAUUCGUAGAUAUUCGGAAGAACACCAGUGGCGAAGGCGACACACUGGCCCAUUACUGACGCUGAGGCUCGAAAGCGUGGGGGAGCAAACAGG
RNAcentral lists this ribosomal RNA (254 nucleotides) under uncultured bacterium. RNAcentral's name for it is "partial 16S ribosomal RNA". It matches the Rfam family "Bacterial small subunit ribosomal RNA", at positions 524 to 776 of the family's 1533-position model. The record is from RNAcentral.